UUCUCUUCAACAAAAGAAAGGCCUUGGCGGUGCAGCGUCUGUGGGAGAGACAAAUCUAACCUUUGUAUUCGUCGACGACAACAAUGGAUCGCAUCCUCUUCUUCGAACACGCUCGCAAGGCCGCCGAAGCCUCCUACACCAAAAACCCCCUCGAUGCCGAGGUACAUAUGCCUUGGCUUGAAGGUGUGUUUGACAAGCUCAUAAAAAGUUGUUAUGGCUUUGUUUGCUACAAUGGUUGAUUAGCUACACUACAGCAUCAGCAAAUGGCUCUGUUUCUCUCUCUAUGCUCUGUUUUGUUUAUCUUCUCUCUCUACAGCAUCUAUGCUUCCGCAGCUCUUCCUCCUCUUCAACCACAUCUUGAUGGUAAGCACUGCCUCACUUCCUUUUACUUGCUUUAUAUACAUCUCACAUUACAUCUCUGUUUCUCUUUUUGGAAGAAAUUGCUUGAAUGUGAUGUGGUUUAGUUCUGAUUUGGUUUGUAAAUCAACAAAGUUUUUUACUUUUUAGAGUAACUCUAACACUGCAUUUCACUUAACAAAAGUAUAUAUAAAAUAAUUUUACUUUUAAAUUUUAUCUCACAACUUUACCUAAUAUGUGUACUCCAACAACAAUUGCUACUCAUGAAAUUAGUUUGCCUAGCUUUUAGAACUCUCUAAAUGUAGUUAUCCAAAAGG
Molecule: non-coding RNA, 674 nt
Organism: Camellia sinensis
Lineage: Eukaryota; Viridiplantae; Streptophyta; Magnoliopsida; Ericales; Theaceae
Source: RefSeq, a predicted model, not a curated record